GAUGAACGCUGGCGGCGUGCUUAACACAUGCAAGUCGAGCGAACAGAUGAGGAGCUUGUUCCUCGGUCGAUUGCCGCAGGGGUGUGAGUAACAGGUGGAUAACCUCCUUAUCAGACUGGGAUAUCUUCGGGAAACCGGAUCUAAUACCGGAUAAUAUAUUGAACCGCAUGGUUCAAUAGUAAAAUACGGUGUUGCGGUCACUUAUAGAUGGAUCUGCGCCGCAGUAGCUAGUUGGUAAGGUAACGGCUUACCAAGGCUACGAUGCGUAGCCGACCUGAGAGGGUGAUCGGCGACACGGGAACGGGGACGGGGUCCAGACUCCUAAGGGAGGCACCAGUAGAGAAUCUGCCGCAGUGGGCGAAAGCCUGACGGAGAAAAGGGGCGUGAGUGAUAGAGGUCUUCGGAGCGUGAAACUGGGUUAUUAGGGGAGAACAAAUGUGUAAGUAACUGUAGACGUAUUGACGGUAACUAAUCAGAAAGCCCCGGCUAACUACGUG
RNAcentral lists this ribosomal RNA (497 nucleotides) under uncultured bacterium. Its description in RNAcentral is "partial 16S ribosomal RNA". It matches the Rfam family "Bacterial small subunit ribosomal RNA", at positions 28 to 507 of the family's 1533-position model. The record is from RNAcentral.